GCGCCUGUAGCUCAAUUGGAUAGAGCACAGACCUUCUAAGUCUGUGGUUGCAGGUUCGAGUCCUGCCAGGCGCG
This 74-nucleotide transfer RNA is filed under the name Candidatus Roizmanbacteria bacterium CG11_big_fil_rev_8_21_14_0_20_36_8. Its description in RNAcentral is "tRNA-Arg". It matches the Rfam family "tRNA". Rfam says of the family: Transfer RNA (tRNA) molecules are approximately 80 nucleotides in length. Their secondary structure includes four short double-helical elements and three loops (D, anti-codon, and T loops). Further hydrogen bonds mediate the characteristic L-shaped molecular structure. tRNAs have two regions of fundamental functional importance: the anti-codon, which is responsible for specific mRNA codon recognition, and the 3' end, to which the tRNAs corresponding amino acid is attached (by aminoacyl-tRNA synthetases). tRNAs cope with the degeneracy of the genetic code in two manners: having more than one tRNA (with a specific anti-codon) for a particular amino acid; and 'wobble' base-pairing, i.e. permitting non-standard base-pairing at the 3rd anti-codon position. The record is from RNAcentral. Lineage: Bacteria; Candidatus Roizmaniibacteriota.